GAGUUUGAUCCUGGCUCAGAUUGAACGCUGGCGGCAUGCUUUACACAUGCAAGUCGAACGGUAACAGGCCGCAAGGUGCUGACGAGUGGCGAACGGGUGAGUAAUGCAUCGGAACGUGCCCAAUCGUGGGGGAUAACGCAGCGAAAGCUGUGCUAAUACCGCAUACGAUCUACGGAUGAAAGCGGGGGACUCAGCAAUGGGCCUCGCGCGAUUGGAGCGGCCGAUGUCAGAUUAGGUAGUUGGUGGGGUAAAGGCUCACCAAGCCAACGAUCUGUAGCUGGUCUGAGAGGACGACCAGCCACACUGGAACUGAGACACGGUCCAGACUCCUACGGGAGGCAGCAGUGGGGAAUUUUGGACAAUGGGCGCAAGCCUGAUCCAGCAAUGCCGCGUGCAGGAAGAAGGCCUUCGGGUUGUAAACUGCUUUUGUACGGAACGAAAAGGCUCUGGUUAAUACCUGGGGUUCAUGACGGUACCGUAAGAAUAAGCACCGGCUAACUACGUGCCAGCAGCCGCGGUAAUACGUAGGGUGCGAGCGUUAAUCGGAAUUACUGGGCGUAAAGCGUGCGCAGGCGGUUUUGUAAGACAGUCGUGAAAUCCCCGG
Molecule: ribosomal RNA, 604 nt
Filed under: uncultured bacterium
Lineage: Bacteria
Description: bacterial SSU rRNA
Rfam family: Bacterial small subunit ribosomal RNA
Source: RNAcentral